Molecule: non-coding RNA, 68 nt
Organism: Salmo salar (Atlantic salmon)
Lineage: Eukaryota; Metazoa; Chordata; Actinopteri; Salmoniformes; Salmonidae
Source: Rfam
CCCUGUAGCUCAGUUGGUAGAGCAUGGUGUUUGCAACGCCAGGGUUGUGGGUUCGAUUCCCACUGGGG